GAUGAACGCUGACAGAAUGCUUAACACAUGCAAGUCUUUGGCGAAGCUGUGCUUGCACCGCCUAGCCAAGGCGGACGGGUGAGUAACGCGUAAGGAACUUGCCCUGCAGUCAGGGAUAACAGACGGAAACGACUGAUAAGACCUGGUAAAGUCAGGCGGACUCAUGUCCAGCCUGAUGAAAAGAGAUGCUGCAGGAGAGCCUUGCGUCCUAUUAGCUUGUUGGUGGGGUAACGGCCCACCAAGGCGAUGAUAGGUAGCCGGCCUGAGAGGGUGGACGGCCACAAGGGGACUGAGAUACGGCCCGUACUCCUACGGGAGGCAGCAGUGGGGAAUAUUGGACAAUGGGGGCAACCCUGAUCCAGCCAUUCUGUGUGCACGAUGAAGGUUUUCGGAUGGUAAAGUGCUUUCAGCAGGGAAGAAAAAAUGACGGUACCUGCAGAAGAAGCGACGGCUAAAUACGUG
This 462-nucleotide ribosomal RNA is filed under the name uncultured bacterium. RNAcentral's name for it is "partial 16S ribosomal RNA". It matches the Rfam family "Bacterial small subunit ribosomal RNA", at positions 28 to 507 of the family's 1533-position model. The record is from RNAcentral.